ACGCACACACCUCACUCCGCUGCUGGGAAGCUGCCGCACGUGUGGUCUGGCUGUACCUGAACCCACUUAGUCACCUGGGUCUCAUCCUGUCACCAGCAGAUGUAGCCUAACCCAGCCUAGUGGCCAGCCCUGCCACGCCGACUGCCCCGCCCUCCCAUCCUUACCGGCCUGGACACUCCAAGAGGUUCUUCUUAGUUCAUCCUGUCCUUGGGACCUGCCAUAUACAUUUUAGAACUACCGCCGUUAUUUUGCAACCUUACAAAGGAGAAAUCAUUCUUCUUUUACAGCAGAAGAAAACAAGAUUUAAAAAAUAUUGAAGAUGAUCCACAGCAAAGAGCCGGGGGUGGUGGUCCACGUAAUCCCAGCUACUUGGGA
Castor canadensis (American beaver) is the source of this 375-nucleotide non-coding RNA. The record is from RefSeq and is a predicted model, not a curated record. Lineage: Eukaryota; Metazoa; Chordata; Mammalia; Rodentia; Castoridae.